This 468-nucleotide ribosomal RNA is filed under the name uncultured bacterium. RNAcentral describes it as "partial 16S ribosomal RNA". It matches the Rfam family "Bacterial small subunit ribosomal RNA", at positions 28 to 507 of the family's 1533-position model. The record is from RNAcentral.
GACGAACGCUGGCGGCGUGCUUAACACAUGCAAGUCGAACGGAAAGGCCCUGCUUUUGUGGGGUGCUCGAGUGGCGAACGGGUGAGUAACACGUGAGUAACCUGCCCUUGACUUUGGGAUAACUUCAGGAAACUGGGGCUAAUACCGGAUAGGAGCUCCUGCUGCAUGGUGGGGGUUGGAAAGUUUCGGCGGUUGGGGAUGGACUCGCGGCUUAUCAGCUUGUUGGUGGGGUAGUGGCUUACCAAGGCUUUGACGGGUAGCCGGCCUGAGAGGGUGACCGGCCACAUUGGGACUGAGAUACGGCCCAGACUCCUACGGGAGGCAGCAGUGAGGAAUAUUGCACAAUGGGCGGAAGCCUGAUGCAGCAACGCCGCGUGCGGGAUGACGGCCUUCGGGUUGAAAACCGCUUUCGCCUGUGACGAAGCGUGAGUGACGGUAAUGGGUAAAGAAGCACCGGCUAACUACGUG